Molecule: non-coding RNA, 100 nt
Organism: Trametes punicea
Lineage: Eukaryota; Fungi; Basidiomycota; Agaricomycetes; Polyporales; Polyporaceae
Source: the annotation of a GenBank genome assembly
UGCCCCGUGGCUGAGUUGGUUACAGCGUCCGACUGUUAAACGUUUCGCUUCCAUCGACGGAGCAAUCGGAAGGUCGUGAGUUCGAGCCUCACCGGGGCAG